Molecule: long non-coding RNA, 351 nt
Filed under: Ananas comosus (pineapple)
Lineage: Eukaryota; Viridiplantae; Streptophyta; Magnoliopsida; Poales; Bromeliaceae
Description: long non-coding RNA (ACOM_LNC042642)
Source: RNAcentral
GUUACAAGUUCGCACGUGAGCGGCGCGGCGGCGCGAGGCAAGGGCGUAGCUCCAUAGAUAGCGCCCUACCCCCGAGACCGAGAUAGCGGUACCCCGAGUCGGCAUAGCCUAGGGGUAGAGGGAAGGAAAAAGUAAAAGUUGUAAUAACUUAAAUUGUAUUUUGGAAGUAAUAUGUAAUUGUGAUGUAUAAAGCAUAUAUGUGAAUGCUUGUAAUAGUUAGCUGUUUAUAUUUUUGAUACUUCCUUAUGCAAUCUGAAUGUUCAAUACUGUUCCUGGUUGGAACCCUUGUAUUGUAUUGAUUGCGACGCCUAGGACGUACAGGAAAAACUCUGUCGGUUCGGCGGUCUGUCG